UUUGCAUUCUGUCUCCACAUGUGCCAAGUCAGCUUUAACAUAAUUUCCCACUAUAAUAAUUGUUUAGAAGGAAGAAAUUUGAAUAUGUGGAAAAUGCCAUUUACAACUAAAGUUACCCUUAAGGCAUACUUGCUGCCCAAGGAAGUCGGAAGAAGGUGUCUGAUUCUCCUGGAACUGGAGUAGGUGGAGUGGAUAAGCUGAUAUAGCCCAGCCCUGGAGGGAAUGAAUCAUUUCUUCAAAUGGGUGCUGCUGACUUUUGAACAAAC
This is a long non-coding RNA of Peromyscus eremicus (cactus mouse), 266 nucleotides long. RefSeq lists it as uncharacterized. The record is from RefSeq and is a predicted model, not a curated record. NCBI's taxonomy places the organism in Eukaryota, Metazoa, Chordata, Mammalia, Rodentia, Cricetidae. The transcript is spliced from 3 exons.